AAGCUGGCCACCCACAAAGAUGGGGCUGGAUGAAGACAACGAACCAGACAAUGAGGGGUGUAACCUCAGCUGCCUCGUCGCAAUCGGACGACUGCAUUCUCAUGUAGUUCCACAACCAGUGAACGGGGAAAUCAGGGUGAAAUCUAUGGAAUAUGUUUCUCGGCAUGCAAUAGAUGGAAAGUUUGUUUUUGUAGACCAGAGGGCAACAGCUAUUUUGGCAUAUUUACCACAAGAACUUCUAGGCACAUCGUGUUAUGAAUAUUUUCACCAAGAUGACAUAGGACAUCUUGCAGAAUGUCAUAGGCAAGUUUUACAGACGAGAGAAAAAAUUACAACUAAUUGCUAUAAAUUUAAAAUCAAAGAUGGUUCUUUUAUCACACUACGGAGUCGAUGGUUCAGUUUCAUGAACCCUUGGACCAAGGAAGUAGAAUAUAUUGUCUCAACUAACACUGUUGUUUUAGCCAACGUCCUGGAAGGCGGGGACCCAACCUUCCCACAGCUCACAGCAUCCCCUCACAGCAUGGACAGCAUGCUGCCCUCUGGAGAAGGUAACUAUGUGCUGCUGGGGCCCUGGGGCUUGCCUGUGAGAAG
This 591-nucleotide small RNA is filed under the name Pongo abelii (Sumatran orangutan). Its description in RNAcentral is "retained intron". Lineage: Eukaryota; Metazoa; Chordata; Mammalia; Primates; Hominidae. The record is from RNAcentral.